UCUUUUUCAACCUCGGGUACGAGGGCCAGCGUAUAGUCAACUACGAAGUCUGCCAAGAUUUGAGACUUGAUGGUGGUUCGGGGUCGAUACUCAAUAUCGUACCCGCUGAUUUCUAUGUCCCAUUUGGACAAUCGACCCGAAAUCUCGGGUUUAUGCAAAACAUUUCAAAGAGGAUAAGUUGUUAUAACACAUAUUGGAUGACAUUAGAAAUACGAUUUUAGUUUUCUAGAGGCGCUUAUUAAAGCAAGCGCUAAUUUUUUUAAUGUGGGUAUCUAGUUUCGACCUUACCCAUGGUUCGACUAACAUAAUAGACAGGGAAUUGCUUACCUUGUUCUUCUCGGAAUAGGACUUUACUUACCGCUAUCUCCGAGACUGCCAAGUAUAUGUAAAGUUGUUCAUCCACUUUUGGGGUGUGAAGCAGCGGUAGGCUCGAUAAAUACCGCUUUAGUUCCUCUAAGGCCUGCUGGCAUUCCGGAGUCCAUGCAAAAUUGCUCUUCUUCUUAAGCAACGAGAAGAAUCGGUGGCUCCUAUCUGAGGAUCUCGAAAUGAAUCAUCCUAGGGCGGUUAUCCGCCCCAUCAGCCUCUGCACAACCUUUAUAUUAUCCACUAUCGUGAUAUCAUCAAUAGCUUUAAAUUUAUCGGGGUUGAUCUCCAUUCCCCGGUUGGACACCAUGAAAUCAAGAAACUUGCCCGAGCCAACUCUGAAUGCACACUUUUCGGGGUUGGGCUUCAUAUUGUACUUCCUUAAUAUAUUUAAAGUUUCCUACAAAUGCUUUAAAUGGUCCUAUGCUCGCAGGGACUUAAUUAACAUGUCAUCAAUAUAAACUUCCAUUGAUUUUCCUAUUUGUUCUUCGAACAUUUGGUUUACUAGGUGUUGAUAAGUUGCACCAGUAUUUUUUAGACCGAAUGGCAUUACAUUAUAACAGUAGGUACCAUACUUAGUGAUAAACGAGGUCUUUUCCUGAUCCUCCAGGUUCAUCUGUAUCUGGUUGUACCCAGAGUAGGCAUCGAGAAAACUGAGAGUCUCGUGGCUUGCCGUGGCAUCGAUCAUACGAUCAAUAUUUGGCAAAGGAAAAGAAUCCUUGGGGCAUGCUUUAUUCAGGUCUUUAUAAUCUAUACACAUUCUAAGUUUGUUUCCCUUUUUAGGGACUACCACUAUGUUUGCUAACCAUUCGGGGUACUUUACUUCCCGAAUGGAUCCUAUUUUGAGAAGUUUGGUUACCUCGUUCUUGAUGAAGGCAUGUUUGAUCUCGGACUGGGGCCUUCUCUUUUGCUUUACCGGGUAGAAUUUAGGGUCCAUGCUUAGUUUGUGAGUGGUAAUUUCUGGUGGAAUCCAUGUCAUAUCGAGAUGGGACCAGGCAAAGCAAUCCAUGUUAGCUUUAAGGAAAUGAAUAAGUUUUUUCCUGAGCUCGGGGGUUAGCCCCGUGCCCAGGUAUACCUUUCAUUCGGGUUGAUGCUUGGCCAGUGUGAUUUAUUCCAGCUCUUCGACCUUUGACUUGGUGGCAUCGGAGUCAUAGGGAACUAUGAAGGCUCGAGGGAUCCAGUAGUCGUCAUCUUCGUUGAUCCCUUUCUCCUACAAUUGGGUCGAGGCCGGUAUAUGUGGUUGUUAUUUGGCCUUCUGUUUUCCCUUCGAUCCCUUCGUUGAUGAGAGUGUCGAUACUGGUAUCACUUCAUCUACUGAAAACAUUUCCUUGGCAGUGGGUUGCUCCCCGUACACUGUUUUGACUCCCUCCGAUGUCGGGAACUUCAGAACUUGGUGAAGGGUCGAGGGCACUGCCCUCAUGUUAUGGAUCCAAGGCCUUCCGAGUAGGGUGUUAUACCUCAUGUCACCAUCGAUCACAUGGAACUCUGUUUCUUGGAUGGUCCCGUCCACGUUCAUUGGCAAAGUAAUUUCACCCUUGGUGGUUUCGCUUGCCAUGUUGAAGCCGUUAAGUACUCGGACUGCAGGCACGAUUUGAUCUUGUAGGCCGAGCUGUUCUAUGACCCUCAAUCGAAUAAUGUUGGCCGAGCUACAUGGAUCAAUCAAAACACGUUUAACUUGAAUUUUAUUCAUAAGAAUAGAUAUUACCAGUGCGUCAUUGUAGGGUUGUAAGAUCCCCUCUGCAUCCCCAUCACUGAAAGAUAAGGUCCCCUCCGGUAUGUAGUCUCGAGUCUGCUUUUCCCUCGUGAUCGACACCUUGGUGCGUUUGAAUACAGGAUCAUGAAGAAUAUCGACCCCUCCAAUAAUCAUGUGGAUCACGUGUUGUGGCUCUUCUUGCUCAUUCUGUAUGUUUGAAUCUCUGUUCUUGAAAUGAUUUUUAGCCCGAUCGCUUAAGAAUUCUUGAAGAUGCCCUUCGUUGAACAAACAUGUUACCUCCUCCCUCAGUUGUCUGUAAUCUUCCGUUCUAUGACCAUGGGUGCCAUGAUAUUUGCACAUUUGAUUAGGAUUUCUCUGGGUUAGAUCAGUCUAUAGAGGGCGGGGCCACCUGGUGUCUUUGAUGCGCCCAAUGGCCGAUACAAUAGCUAAUGUAUCAAUGUUGAAGUUGUAUUCCGAUAGUCGUGGUGCUUCUUUGGGUUCGACAUUUCUGUCGAAACCACUCUUACUCAUGAGCCCUCGAGAGCUCUAUCCUCGAUCAUUUCUUCUAUCAGGCCCGCUGUUUCUCCGAUCUCCAUCGUAUGGCUGAUAUCGAUCUAUGUUUGACUGUGGUUCCCAGUCAAUAUCCCUUUUAACUCUGUUGAUGGUCCUGUUUGGAUAAACGGACUCGGAAGGAGUCCCCUACUGGUCAUCCUCGACCCUAAUCUUUGACUGGUACCGAUUAUGCAUGUCGGCCCAGGUUACAGCUGGAUAUUCAAUCAAGUUCUGCUUCAACUAUUGUGAGGCUACCGAACUUCGUAUGUUUAGGCCUUGAGUGAAAGCCUGAAUGGCCUAAUCGUCGGCGAUUGGGGGCAGAUCCAUGUGCUCCAUUUGGAACCGAGAUACGUACUCUCUAAGCAUCUCAUUUUCUUUUUGUUUUACUUUGAAGAGGUCUGACUUUCUAGUCUCGACCUUUAUCGCUCUGGCGUGCGCUUUGACGAAGGAAUCUGCGAGCAUGGUAAAAUAAUCAAUGUAGUUAGGUGAUAAAUUAUGGUACCAUAUCAUCGCCCCAUUUGAUAAAGUUUUUCCGAAUAUCUUUAGCAGUACGGACUCAAUCUCAUCGUCCUCUAAGUCGUUCCCCUUUAUUGCGCAUGUGUAAGAAGUGACAUGCUCGUUGGGUCGGUAGUUCCAUUAUACUUGGGAAUUUCUGGCAUGCAGAAUUUUUUCGAAAUGGGCUUAGGAGCUGCGCUCGGGGGGAGAGGGGGGGGGGGAGGGGGGUCUUUUGUACGAACUUCUUUGAAUCCAAACCCUUCAACAUCGAUGGUGCUCCCAAAAUUUGAUCAACUCGGGAGUCAUAUGUUUUCACUAUUUUGUCAUUCGCUUCAAUCUUCUUCUUCCCCGAUUCAAUUCGCUUUGUCAGCUCCUCGAACAUUUUCAAGAUAGAGGGGUCGGUUCCUGACUCACUCCCAUUUGACCUCCCCAGCAUUGGUUCGGCCUUGUGAAUAAUUUUCUAUGAUGGCUCGGGUUCGACCCUACUCGGUGUGUGGUUCUGAUUUUGAAGUUGUGCUAUUGCAGCUUGUUGGGCUUGCAACAUUUCGAAUAUUAUUCGAAGGCUGAUUCCGCCUUAUUUGCCACCCUGUGAGUUCUGACCGGCUGAUCGAACGCUUCUGCGGAUGCUAUUUUCGGAGUCGACGCCCAGAUUUGCAUUCAGGGCAACAUGGGAACUGACGUCGAUGGGGUCUGCAACUGGUACUCCCUCGAGGUCAACUGGAAACACUUCAUUUCCUGGGGAGGCUACAUUGUCGUUUUCGCCAUGAAAACCAAGGCCGUUGUCGAUGUGUGUAGGUACUGCUUGAGAGUUCGACAUGCUAAUCGUGGAAUAAAAAUUCAAAAAUGCUUUCAAGAACAAGUGUAAAGCAGUGUGCGUUAUGAAAAUUAGCACCAGGCAAUCACUAUUGUCCUUAGCCCCACGGUGGGCGCCAAACUGUUUACCCUAAAAACGGAUAACAAUUGAAUUUAUAUGUGGUUUUAAGGACACAUGAUUUUACUUAGCACAAACUGAUAAAAUAUGCAAACUGAUAUUGAAAUUGACUGUAAAGAAAAAUAAAAGCAAACCAAAUGAGAUAUAUAGCUUGGGCCCUCGAACCAAAUGAAACAACAAAGGAAAUAUAAGCAAAGUAACACAGUAUCGAGAACAUUGAAAAAAGAGUAGUAUAUUGCUUUUUUACUGUCUGAGACCCCCUUUACAAAUGGUUAUACCCCUUUAUAUAGUAGGGGAGUCUUACUCUUUAUACAAUUCUAAAUAUAGUAAGGACUCUCAUGAUAGGCUAAUUAAUCGUCCUCUUCUUGAUACGUGCCAUGAUUUCCGCCGAGAUUCUCCCCCUAAUUGCGGUUGUAACGACUUUUUGUUUCUUGGCUCGAUCUUGAUCCUGGCCGAUCUCGAUCUUGACCGACCUCGAUCUUGAUCGGUCUCUGGGUCUCGAGCUCGACAAUAUAUUCUUCGCACUAUCGCUCGAUAUUACAAUGAUGAGCCUUGAACCAUCAUGUUCCAAUCUCGAUUAAUCAUACGACGGGCAAAACUCGGUUUUGAUCGUAUACACUAUGAAUUUCGUAUCAAAAUAUUCAUAAUCUAUAAACUUUAAAUCCUGACCCAUUUUUGCUUGUAUGUAUAUAAGAGAAACAAAAGGGGUGAAAUUUAAAAAUAGCCAGAUUUACAAGUGGUAAUUGAAAAAUAGCCACAGUUUCAAAAGUAAUCGAAAUUUAGCCACUUUUCAUGUAAAGAUAAUCUGAACGAAAAUAUUGUUCAAAAUCCGAAAAAUAUUCUAGUAUAAUAUACUCGAGUUCAAAUUUUUUACAUGUGAACUUCCAGCAUAAUAUACUGGAGUUCCAGCAUAAUAUACUGGAGUUCCAGCAUGAUAUGCCGGUCCAACAUAAUAUGCUGGAAGUUCAUACUUCAUACACAGGUGCUCCAAUCUCCAGUAUAUUAUGCUGGAACUUUCCAUGUGCUGGAGUUUCAGUAUAAUAUGUUGGAAGUUCAUACACAAGUGCACCAAUCUCCAGUAUAUUUUGCUGGAACUUUCCGUGUUGCAGCAAAAUAGUGACUACUUUUCAAACACUUUGCAAACGCUGAUUAUUUUUUAAUUACCAGUUUGAAAACUGACUAGUCCGUUAUAUUUAUACAAAUAAAAGAGAGCUCCAAAUUAAUGCAAGAAGGUCGGUGUUGUACGAGGAACAAGCUAAGAAUCUCAAUUGCUUCAAAGGUGGUUUUGAAUGAAAUUAAGUUCAUUGAAUCAAAAGGUCGGUCACAUCACUCACGACUCAUCCAUCCUGCCCACUUUUCACCAUAUACGCACAUAAAUUUUAUUUUAAUUUAAUUUAGUACAUGAAUAUUCUUUAUAUAAAUUCUUUUUUCUUUUCUAAUAACUUAAGAACACAGUACUGUUAUUUCUUUUCUUUAUAUAAAUUUCAUUUUUCAUGAAUUGAAAACUCUUUUUAAUGUAGUUGUCGAGAUAUGUUAUAAUAUAAUACUAAUGUAUUAUGUCAACGUGGGCCAAGACUCUGUACUUUUCCUUUAUCUCUCACUUGCAGCUAUGACCUCAAUAGGAAUUUUAAAGGAUGAAGACCAACAUGUAAUAUAAGAAAGAUUGUGUUGUUUGUACUCCUAAUUCUAGUCUUAAUAUAAUAUUCCUUGUUUCCAAAUCAAAGGACCAAUUAUCUUUGAUUGCUUAGCUGCUGUUCUACUUCCGAACCAAAUAUUACCCUGUAAUCCCACUUAUCUUUUUCAAGUACAAUUCUUUGAUUUUUAUUAAUUUCUUUCUAGAAAAGUAUAUCAAUAUCUAUUGUAGCAAACAAUGAAGAUAAUAAAUAAACGGAUUUAUAAAGUGGGUACUAGGAGCAAAUCCCCAAUUUUUUUAAUAAUUUGCACAUUUUGUAUUGAAAUUUGUUUUUUAAUGAGAAAAUGUUUGUAAUUUCUGUUAUAUAAAAGUAGAGGUUUAAAUAUAUUCUAGCUAUAAUUACAAAGAUACUCCAGUGCAAUACAACAUUUUUCCCUCUAUUGAAUUCUUCAUUAGCCAAUGGGUUUUUAGGUUGAAAUGAUUAGAAAUUAUGUUGGAGACUUUUAGGACCCGUUUGUCCAUAAAUAAUUUUAUUUUUUUUGAAUUCUUUUUCCAAAGAUGUGUUUGUUCAUGAACUUUUGUAAGUUUUUAAAAAAAUUUCGAAAUCCACUCACAAAGCUGCAAGAUUUUUUCUAGUGAAAUGCAAUGACCAAAUAUAAUUUCAAAUUCCAAAUAUUAUUUUUCAACUUAACUCCAAAUACUAAAUUUUUUCAAAACUUACAAUUUUUAUGUCCAAACACCUACUUAAGUUGGAAAGAAACCUGCAGUUUAAGUGGGCGUUUGGACUUAAGAAUUGUAAAAUUCCAAAAAAAAAGUGAAAAUUUUUCAAGUGAAAAUGAUAUUUGAAAAUUAGAGUUGUGUUUAGACAAGAAUAUAAUUUUGGGUUGUUUUUGAAGUUUUGUGAGUGAAAAUUUUAAAAAAUCGCUUUUUGGACUUUUUUAUAUUUUUGAAAAAUUCAAAAAUUCAUUUUCAAGUGAAAAUUAGAAAUUUUAUGGCUAAACACUGAUUUCGAAAAAAAAUAAAAAUUUCAAAAAAAUAAAAAAAUUCUUAUCUCCAAACGGGCUCUAAAUCUAUCAAUUUGAAGUAAAUAUUGAAUAAAAAUAAGUAUUUUUUGGUUGGUGGAAAAGACAAGGAGACAAGAAGAAGGGUGGAGGAAGGGGGUAAAGGACUUGGUGAUAUAGUCCAGGGGUGAAGAACCUUGGACAAAGAGACAUCCCCCUAUUACCACAAACCUCAACACCUUGUCCCCACUUUAUUAAGUAAUUCACUGAAUCCAACCCCACUUUCUCUACCUCUUCUCUCUAAUCUAACAUAAUUAGACAUAUAAUACCUCAUUAGUAUCAAACAACCAAAAUUUUAAAUCAAGAAAACAAAUAUCCACAACUCAUUUCCUUUCAUUCUUUUCAAUACUGCUACAUUUCUUUUUUCACCCUUUCCUCAUUCCUCUCCCCUAUACCAAAUCUUGUGCUUAAUUUCCUUGUGUUUCUUUCCUUUCCACCAUAUCCUUCAGUAUACAAUUUAACAUAUAGCUGGUUGAAGAGAAACUACUUGCUGAUAUAACUCAUCAAUAUAUUUACUGGAGGUUUACAUUUCUCUGCCCCUUCAAAGAAAGACAAGAUUUUGAGGAAAUCACAAGAUCCAAAAUCAAAUUUGAAGAGAUUGGUUCAAGUCAAAGAAGUACAAGCAUCAAACACAAAAUUGUAUAGAUUAAUCCGAAUUCGCAGCCUUGGAAUCUAGCUUGCAC
RNAcentral lists this long non-coding RNA (7411 nucleotides) under Nicotiana tabacum (common tobacco). Its description in RNAcentral is "long non-coding RNA (NTAB_LNC005647)". Lineage: Eukaryota; Viridiplantae; Streptophyta; Magnoliopsida; Solanales; Solanaceae. The record is from RNAcentral.